UACGUAGGCAGCAAGCGUUGUUCGGAGUUACUGGGCGUAAAGGGUGUGUAGGCGGUUCUUUAAGUUUGCUGUGAAAUCUCCCGGCUUAACCGGGAGGGUGCGGUGAAUACUGAGGGACUAGAGUACGGGAGAGGAAAGUGGAAUUCCUGGUGUAGCGGUGAAAUGCGUAGAUAUCGAGAGGAACACCUGCGGCGAAGGCGGGUUGCUGGGCCGACACUGACGCUGAUGCGCGAAAGCCAGGGGAGCGAACGGG
Molecule: ribosomal RNA, 253 nt
Filed under: uncultured bacterium
Lineage: Bacteria
Description: partial 16S ribosomal RNA
Rfam family: Bacterial small subunit ribosomal RNA
Source: RNAcentral